AAUAGCAACUUGAAAUAUAUAUCCAAUGAAAAAGAGAGAGAAAGAAAAAUUGUUAACUGUUUAAACGUGUAUCAGUGGUAAAUUGUAUUUUCCGUUCACGAUCUUGGCACCUGAUAUAACGUUAUGUCACGUAUCAAUGUUUAUAAUAAUCAGAUGAUAAGAAUUGUGA
This is a long non-coding RNA of Polistes dominula (European paper wasp), 169 nucleotides long. Lineage: Eukaryota; Metazoa; Arthropoda; Insecta; Hymenoptera; Vespidae. The record is from RefSeq and is a predicted model, not a curated record.